This 253-nucleotide ribosomal RNA is filed under the name uncultured bacterium. RNAcentral describes it as "partial 16S ribosomal RNA". It matches the Rfam family "Bacterial small subunit ribosomal RNA", at positions 524 to 776 of the family's 1533-position model. The record is from RNAcentral. RNAcentral also lists the same sequence under 1 other name.
UACGUAGGGUGCGAGCGUUGUCCGGAAUUACUGGGCGUAAAGAGCUCGUAGGCGGUUUGUCGCGUCGUCCGUGAAAACUUGGGGCUCAACCUCAAGCUUGCGGGCGAUACGGGCAGACUUGAGUACUGCAGGGGAGACUGGAAUUCCUGGUGUAGCGGUGAAAUGCGCAGAUAUCAGGAGGAACACCGGUGGCGAAGGCGGGUCUCUGGGCAGUAACUGACGCUGAGGAGCGAAAGCGUGGGUAGCAAACAGG